GAUGAACGCUGGCGGCGUGCCUAAUACAUGCAAGUCGAGCGAACGGACGAGAAGCUUGCUUCUCUGAUGUUAGCGGCGGACGGGUGAGUAACACGUGGAUAACCUACCUAUAAGACUGGGAUAACUUCGGGAAACCGGAGCUAAUACCGGAUAAUAUUUUGAACCGCAUGGUUCAAAAGUGAAAGACGGUCUUGCUGUCACUUAUAGAUGGAUCCGCGCUGCAUUAGCUAGUUGGUAAGGUAACGGCUUACCAAGGCAACGAUGCAUAGCCGACCUGAGAGGGUGAUCGGCCACACUGGAACUGAGACACGGUCCAGACUCCUACGGGAGGCAGCAGUAGGGAAUCUUCCGCAAUGGGCGAAAGCCUGACGGAGCAACGCCGCGUGAGUGAUGAAGGUCUUCGGAUCGUAAAACUCUGUUAUUAGGGAAGAACAUAUGUGUAAGUAACUGUGCACAUCUUGACGGUACCUAAUCAGAAAGCCACGGCUAACUACGUGCCAGCAGCCGCGGUAAUACGUAGGUGGCAAGCGUUAUCCGGAAUUAUUGGGCGUAAAGCGCGCGUAGGCGGUUUUUUAAGUCUGAUGUGAAAGCCCACGGCUCAACCGUGGAGGGUCAUUGGAAACUGGAAAACUUGAGUGCAGAAGAGGAAAGUGGAAUUCCAUGUGUAGCGGUGAAAUGCGCAGAGAUAUGGAGGAACACCAGUGGCGAAGGCGACUUUCUGGUCUGUAACUGACGCUGAUGUGCGAAAGCGUGGGGAUCAAACAGGGUUAGAUACCCUGGUAGUCCACGCCGUAAACGAUGAGUGCUAAGUGUUAGGGGGUUUCCGCCCCUUAGUGCUGCAGCUAACGCAUUAAGCACUCCGCCUGGGGAGUACGACCGCAAGGUUGAAACUCAAAGGAAUUGACGGGGACCCGCACAAGCGGUGGAGCAUGUGGUUUAAUUCGAAGCAACGCGAAGAACCUUACCAAAUCUUGACAUCCUUUGACAACUCUAGAGACAGAGCUUUCCCCUUCGGGGGACAAAGUGACAGGUGGUGCAUGGUUGUCGUCAGCUCGUGUCGUGAGAUGUUGGGUUAAGUCCCGCAACGAGCGCAACCCUUAAGCUUAGUUGCCAUCAUUAAGUUGGGCACUCUAAGUUGACUGCCGGUGACAAACCGGAGGAAGGUGGGGAUGACGUCAAAUCAUCAUGCCCCUUAUGAUUUGGGCUACACACGUGCUACAAUGGACAAUACAAAGGGCAGCGAAACCGCGAGGUCAAGCAAAUCCCAUAAAGUUGUUCUCAGUUCGGAUUGUAGUCUGCAACUCGACUACAUGAAGCUGGAAUCGCUAGUAAUCGUAGAUCAGCAUGCUACGGUGAAUACGUUCCCGGGUCU
This 1372-nucleotide ribosomal RNA is filed under the name uncultured bacterium. Its description in RNAcentral is "bacterial SSU rRNA". It matches the Rfam family "Bacterial small subunit ribosomal RNA", at positions 28 to 1381 of the family's 1533-position model. The record is from RNAcentral.